GACGAACGCUGGCGGCGUGCUUAACACAUGCAAGUCGAACGGAAAGGCCCUGCUUUUGUGGGGUGCUCGAGUGGCGAACGGGUGAGUAACACGUGAGUAACCUGCCCUUGACUUUGGGAUAACUUCAGGAAACUGGGGCUAAUACCGGAUAGGAGCUCCUGCUGCAUGGUGGGGGUUGGAAAGUUUCGGCGGUUGGGGAUGGACUCGCGGCUUAUCAGCUUGUUGGUGGGGUAGUGGCUUACCAAGGCUUUGACGGGUAGCCGGCCUGAGAGGGUGACCGGCCACAUUGGGACUGAGAUACGGCCCAGACUCCUACGGGAGGCAGCAGUGGGGAAUAUUGCACAAUGGGCGGAAGCCUGAUGCAGCAACGCCGCGUGCGGGAUGACGGCCUUCGGGUUGUAACCCGCUUUCGCCUGUGACGAAGCGUGAGUGACGGUAAUGGGUGAAGAAGCACCGGCUAACUACGUG
This 468-nucleotide ribosomal RNA is filed under the name uncultured bacterium. RNAcentral describes it as "partial 16S ribosomal RNA". It matches the Rfam family "Bacterial small subunit ribosomal RNA", at positions 28 to 507 of the family's 1533-position model. The record is from RNAcentral.